AAAAUCAGACAUUUGAGAUAUUGGAAUAUUGGAAGAAUAAUGCAACAAAGUAUAGAGUGUUAUCUCAAAUAGCAAAGGAUGUGUUGGCCAUGCCCAUUUUUACCGUUGCUUCGGAGUCAGCUUUCAGUACCGGGGGACGUAUCCUUGAUCCAUUCCGUAGUUCACUUGCCCCUUCCAUGGUUGAAGCUCUUGUAUGCACACAAAAUUGGCUUAAAAGCAACCUUCCAAUUUCUCUUCGACAAGCAAUGGAUGAUGUGGAGGAAUUUGAGCAAUACGACUCGGGUACUUUGGAGCCAUGUUCCUCUUCAACCCCAAAGUCUAAUGUAGAUGCUAUAAUUGAACUUUAAUGUUCAUUUGGCUCAUAUUGUUGGAUGAGAUUGGACAUUGGAAGAUGGACCUAAAGAGUUUAGUGAAGCCUUGGAUGGAUACCACCUUUUCAAAUUAUUUUGGAUGGAGUUUGUAGACAAUGUUAUUUUAGUUU
Camellia sinensis is the source of this 481-nucleotide non-coding RNA. The record is from RefSeq and is a predicted model, not a curated record. Lineage: Eukaryota; Viridiplantae; Streptophyta; Magnoliopsida; Ericales; Theaceae.